This 107-nucleotide small nuclear RNA is filed under the name Dasypus novemcinctus (nine-banded armadillo). The record is from RNAcentral. Lineage: Eukaryota; Metazoa; Chordata; Mammalia; Cingulata; Dasypodidae.
GUGCUUGCUUCGGCAGCACAUAUACUAAUAUUGGAACAAUACAGAGAAGAUUAGCAUGGCCCCUGCACAAGGAUGACACGCAAAUUCGUGAAACGUUCCAUAUUAAA